ACCUCACCUCUUUCACAUCACCCGUCCACCUUGGGUGGUUUUCAUAAUUAAAACCAUCAGCAUUUGAUCUUGGAUUUGAGAUCCCAGUCCUCAACUUGUGCCACCACAUAUUGGAAUGUUUAAGUCUCUCUCUCUCUUCGCACUUUCUCUUCCCUCAUCUUCACAGACGAGUUGCAGAAAUUCGCCAACAUCACUCUCUCUUCCUUUGUCUUCAUAGAGACGAGCUGCAGAAAUUUGCCGACAGUCUCUCUCUCUCUCUCUCUGCCAUCAUCUUCAUAGAGACGAGCUGCAGAAAUUCGUCGAGGCUCUGCUGCUACGUACGAGAUCGGAAGUUGUAGAUUCGUUGUGAAAAUUGCAGCAAUUUUGGGAUUUGCAGUGAGAUUCAAACUGCAUAGAUUGUCGCCUAGCGCCGCCUAGUGAGAGCCUAGGCGGCCGCCUAAUUCUUCCCCGUCUAAAUGAAUGUUUUGGUCUAAAUUAAGUCGAAGCUUCGCCGCUCAGCGCCUGGGCGGCCGCCUAGGCCUAUUUUUAGAACACUGAUGACUUCAUCAACUGAAUUUACUUCAUUACUGAAGAACCAAUCUGCCAUUUACUCGAGUACUUACACACUCAAGGGGAUGUGUUGCAGUCCUAAUUUAGAUAGGAAUGUGAUUGUGUCAAUUCUAGGAAAUUCUUAUUGGAUUCUAUCAUAUCAUUUAGGUAGUAUCAUGUUUAAAUUGUAAUACCUAAAGGGUAAGAAAGUUACAUUCCCUACUAUUAUAAAUAAAGACACAAUUGAGUGAUUUUCUCAAUUCUCUCUA
Molecule: non-coding RNA, 797 nt
Organism: Malus domestica (apple)
Lineage: Eukaryota; Viridiplantae; Streptophyta; Magnoliopsida; Rosales; Rosaceae
Source: RefSeq, a predicted model, not a curated record